GAUGAACGCUGGCGGCGUGCCUAAUACAUGCAAGUCGAGCGAACGGACGAGAAGCUUGCUUCUCUGAUGUUAGCGGCGGACGGGUGAGUAACACGUGGAUAACCUACCUAUAAGACUGGGAUAACUUCGGGAAACCGGAGCUAAUACCGGAUAAUAUUUUGAACCGCAUGGUUCAAAAGUGAAAGACGGUCUUGCUGUCACUUAUAGAUGGAUCCGCGCUGCAUUAGCUAGUUGGUAAGGUAACGGCUUACCAAGGCAACGAUGCAUAGCCGACCUGAGAGGGUGAUCGGCCACGCUGGAACUGAGACACGGUCCAGACUCCUACGGGAGGCAGCAGUAGGGAAUCUUCCGCAAUGGGCGAAAGCCUGACGGAGCAACGCCGCGUGAGUGAUGAAGGUCUUCGAAUCGUAAAACUCUUUUAUUAGGGAAGAACAUAUGUGUAAGUAACUGUGCACAUCUUGGCGGUACCUAAUCAGAAAACCACGGCUAACUACGUG
Molecule: ribosomal RNA, 497 nt
Filed under: uncultured bacterium
Lineage: Bacteria
Description: partial 16S ribosomal RNA
Rfam family: Bacterial small subunit ribosomal RNA
Source: RNAcentral